Molecule: ribosomal RNA, 397 nt
Filed under: uncultured bacterium
Lineage: Bacteria
Description: bacterial SSU rRNA
Rfam family: Bacterial small subunit ribosomal RNA
Source: RNAcentral
GAGCGCCGUAGCAAUACGGAGCGGCAGACGGGAGAGUAACACGUGGGAACGUACCCCUCGGUUCGGAAUAACUCAGGGAAACUUGAGCUAAUACCGGAUACGUCGGCAACGAGAAAGAUUUAUCGCCGAGGGAUCGGCCCGCGUCCGAUUAGCUAGUUGGUGAGGUAAUGGCUCACCAAGGCGACGAUCAGUAGCUGGUCUGAGAGGAUGAUCAGCCUCACUGGGACUGAGACACGGCCCAGACUCCUACGGGAGGCAGCAGUGGGGAAUAUUGGACAAUGGGCGCAAGCCUGAUCCAGCCAUGCCGCGUGGGUGAUGAAGGCCUUAGGGUUGUAAAGCCCUUUCGGCGGGGAAGAUAAUGACGGUACCCGCAGAAGAAGCCCCGGCUAACUUCGUG